Molecule: RNA transcript, 2484 nt
Organism: Candoia aspera
Lineage: Eukaryota; Metazoa; Chordata; Lepidosauria; Squamata; Candoiidae
Gene: ANGPTL2
Gene name: angiopoietin like 2
Exons: 6
Source: RefSeq, a predicted model, not a curated record
AAGGGAGGUCCUUGGUGUGUGUGUGUCUUGCCGGUGGAUCCCUUACUUGAUGGGAGGGGAAAGUGGGGCUUAUCCAACCAGAACGUGCCUGCUUACUGCAUGCUUGAUCAUCCUCUCCCCCUCCUCCAGCAUGUAAAUCCACCACAAAGGAGCUGAAGUUCAAAUGGGGCUGUUUGAGCUUCGCUUGAAGUGAUGGAUUGAAAGCUCAUAACUUAAACACGGAAGAGCCGGUGCUCCUGAAACACACGUCAAGAGCUGCAGCCUAUUGUUCCGGAGCGCCUACAUAGCAUGGGAGCCAACGGCUUGCUUGCCGUCGGCAAUCAGAUUAAAGGCUCAAGAAUUUAAACAAUAAGGAAGUCAGAAGACCCCAGUAGCCAUCUGUUGUUCUCCUUCUAAACGCGGGACCAAAGGCAUGCACUUCUCACGCAGUAGACGCUAGGCAGUCUGCACCACAGAUGAAUGUGUUUAUUUGGCAUCAGUGAUGUCAUUAUUUCUAUGGAUGAACCUAUCAGCGAAUCCUUGAUUUAAAAACAAAGCAAGAUGCACAUUUGAAGCUUGAAGAAAGAAGCCCAAAGGAAAUAGGGUAAUACAAAGCAUUCCGAUAAGGCAAUUCAGACAUAAGGACAAUGAAGGCAGCAUUGUGCUUGCUGCUGAUGGCCGCUGUGGGAAUUGACGCUCAGAAGUCUGAAGAUCUUGAAGGCGGCGUUGUGGGAGAGGCACCAGAGUUCAUCUACAGAAAUAGAUAUAAACGCUCCAGUGAUGCCCAGGACAAAUGUACUUAUACUUUUAUUGUACCUCAGCAGAAAGUAACAGGUGCCAUUUGUGUUAAUUCAAAAGAACCCGACACUGUGCUUGAAAACAGGGUAAAUAAGCAAGAAGUAGAGCUACUCAGCAAUGAGCUGUUGAAGCAAAAGAGACAAAUAGAAACCCUUCAGCAGCUGGUGGAAGUAGACGGAGGAAUUGUUAACGAGGUGAAGCUCCUACGAAAGGAGAGCCGCAACAUGAACUCACGAGUCACACAGUUGUACAUGCAGCUGCUGCAUGAAAUCAUCCGCAAACGGGACAACGCGCUGGAACUUUCCCAGCUGGAAAACAGGAUCCUGAAUCAAACGGCUGAUAUGUUGCAGCUUGCAAACAGAUUCAAAGAUCUGGAGCAUAAAUACCAGCAUUUGGUAUCCAUUGCAAACAAUCAGUCUGUCAUCAUUGCACAGUUAGAAGAGCACUGUCAACGAACGCCAGCCGUUAGACCAGGCCUGCAGCCUCCGCUGCCACCAGACCGGAUCUACCAGCCGCCCACGUACAACCGAAUCACAAACCAAAUAGCGACCAAUGAAAUUCAGAGUGACCAGAACUUAAAGCUUCUACCACCAGCUCUCCCAACCAUGCCACCAGUUACCAGCAUUCCAACUUCUACUGACAAGCCCUCAGGUCCUUGGAGAGACUGUUUACAAGCCUUAGAAGAUGGCCACGGCACCAGUUCCAUAUAUCUUGUAAAGCCUGAAAACACAAACCGGCUGAUGCAAGUCUGGUGCGAUCAACGACAAGAUCCUGGUGGCUGGACAGUUAUUCAAAGACGUUUGGACGGAUCAGUAAAUUUUUUCAGGAACUGGGAAAUGUAUAAGCAAGGAUUUGGUAACAUCGAUGGAGAGUAUUGGCUGGGGUUAGAAAACAUUUACUGGCUGACAAAUCAAGGCAACUACAAAUUGCUGAUAACCAUGGAAGACUGGUCAGGACGUACAGUUUUUGCUGAAUAUGCCAGCUUCCGCCUGGAGCCAGAAAGUGAAUUCUACAAGUUGCGAUUGGGCCGAUACAACGGCAAUGCUGGAGAUUCCUUUACGUGGCACAAUGGAAAGCAAUUCACUACACUGGAUAGAGACCAUGAUGUAUACACAGGUAACUGCGCACAUUACCAGAAAGGGGGAUGGUGGUACAACGCGUGCGCCCACUCAAACCUCAAUGGCGUCUGGUACCGAGGAGGUCAUUACCGAAGUCGAUAUCAAGAUGGAGUUUAUUGGGCAGAGUUCCGGGGGGGAUCCUAUUCCCUGAAAAAAGUGGUUAUGAUGAUCAGACCUAACCCUAACACAUUCCACUGAAAGGAAUACAGCCUUCUCAAGAGACAAAAUAAAAAGGUGCCAAUAGUUACGUGUGUUUUCCAGAACACACCUUCUCAGCAACAGAGAAUGUCAUGUAUUGCACAUGGACUGCUAUACAAGGAGACCUGUAUAUCGUACUGCUCCAGAAUCAUUCUAGAAGCAAAAUAAGAAGCAUUUCAGAUCAUCACUCUUUAAAGAAAGAAAGAAAGAAAGAAAAAAACACACACAUUCAGAGGAAACAGACUGUAGAUAAACUGAGAUGCGAGGAAUACUGCCACAUCAUCUAAAUACUUCGUAUGGUAUAUACUCUCAAAUCCUGCACAUACUCAAAACUGUACAGUAAAUAAUAGAUUCAUUUGACACAGGAAAUUAUAUCCUUUGAAACUAUGUA